Molecule: ribosomal RNA, 481 nt
Filed under: Enterococcus durans
Lineage: Bacteria; Bacillati; Bacillota; Bacilli; Lactobacillales; Enterococcaceae
Description: bacterial SSU rRNA
Rfam family: Bacterial small subunit ribosomal RNA
Source: RNAcentral
UGCAAGUCGUACGCUUCUUUUUCCACCGGAGCUUGCUCCACCGGAAAAAGAGGAGUGGCGAACGGGUGAGUAACACGUGGGUAACCUGCCCAUCAGAAGGGGAUAACACUUGGAAACAGGUGCUAAUACCGUAUAACAAUCGAAACCGCAUGGUUUUGAUUUGAAAGGCGCUUUCGGGUGUCGCUGAUGGAUGGACCCGCGGUGCAUUAGCUAGUUGGUGAGGUAACGGCUCACCAAGGCCACGAUGCAUAGCCGACCUGAGAGGGUGAUCGGCCACAUUGGGACUGAGACACGGCCCAAACUCCUACGGGAGGCAGCAGUAGGGAAUCUUCGGCAAUGGACGAAAGUCUGACCGAGCAACGCCGCGUGAGUGAAGAAGGUUUUCGGAUCGUAAAACUCUGUUGUUAGAGAAGAAUAAGGAUGAGAGUAACUGUUCAUCCCUUGACGGUAUCUAACCAGAAAGCCACGGCUAACUACGUGC